GUUGCCUACGGGGCGCAGCAGUGAGGAAUAUUGGUCAAUGGGCGGGAGCCUGAACCAGCCAAGUCGCGUGAGGGAAGACGGUCCUAUGGAUUGUAAACCUCUUUAGGCGGGGAGCAAUGCCGGGCACGCGUGCCCGGAGGGAGAGUACCCGCAGAAUAAGCAUCGGCUAACUCCGUGCCAGCAGCCGCGGUAAUACGGAGGAUGCGAGCGUUAUCCGGAUUUAUUGGGUUUAAAGGGUGCGUAGGCGGGAUGGCAAGUCAGAUGUGAAAUCCGGGGGCUCAACCCCUGAACUGCCUUUGAAACUU
Molecule: ribosomal RNA, 305 nt
Filed under: uncultured bacterium
Lineage: Bacteria
Description: bacterial SSU rRNA
Rfam family: Bacterial small subunit ribosomal RNA
Source: RNAcentral